CCUACGGGUGGCAGCAGUGGGGGAUAUUGCACAAUGGGGGAAACCCUGAUGCAGCGACGCCGCGUGGGCGAAGAAGUAUUUCGGUAUGUAAAGGCCUAUCAGCAGGGAAGAAGAAAUGACGGUACCUGAGUAAGAAGCACCGGCUAAAUACGUGCCAGCAGCCGCGGUAAUACGUAUGGUGCAAGCGUUAUCCGGAUUUACUGGGUGUAAAGGGAGCGCAGGCGGCACGGCAAGCCUGAUGUGAAAGCCCGGGGCCCAACCGCGGGACUGCAUUGGGAACUACCGGGCUGGAGUGCCGGAGAGGGAGGUGGAAUUCCUAGUGUAGCGGUGAAAUGCGUAGAUAUUAGGAGGAACACCAGUGGCGAAGGCGGCCUACUGGACGGUGACUGACGCUGAGGCGCGAAAGCGUGGGGAGCGAACGGGAUUAGAUACCCUUGUAGUC
Molecule: ribosomal RNA, 442 nt
Filed under: uncultured bacterium
Lineage: Bacteria
Description: partial 16S ribosomal RNA
Rfam family: Bacterial small subunit ribosomal RNA
Source: RNAcentral